CUGAAUACGAUGGUAACUACAUCGAGUGCAAGCCCCUGAAGCGUUGGACACUUUCAUGUUUUCACCGCGGCUCUCAGAAAGUUUGCGUUGCGUUCAACCGGUCGGUGGGCUUCAUUUAAGCUUUGAACACUACUGAAAGGGGCAUUGCACAAAAGAUAACACCCGUAAAAUUGACUGAAAAAAACGGCCUUGAUUUGCAGUCUGCGUUGUACAUUGUGCUGGAUGCCCCAUUUGACUAUAUAAUUCAGGACAUGGUAGAGCUGAGGAAAUGGUGGUGCAUAAUGUUAAUGGUGAACUUUAGUCUGGACCGGCAUGGAAAAAUGUUUGCCCACUAUACAGAGGAGUCUAAAGUCUUCAUAAGAGGUGAUCAGCAGCCUGUAUUUAGGUUGCAAAAAAGGAAGUUGGACGAAAUCUCUCAGGAAGAGCCUUUUUGACGGACAGGUAACUUCUCAGGGUAGAUGAAACCAAUCUUUUCAUCUGUGAGUUUGCAUCGGAGAAGCAGGUGGUUCAGUCUCCAUCAUCUUGGUUCAUCAUCUUCUGCAUUGUUGUUUCUUAAGAGCGUGUCAUGACGGAUCUUACAAACUGCCAGUCAGUGGUGCUUGGAGAACUCUGGGGAUCUUCUUGGCUCAGUUCAGCUUCCACUUAUAAUGUGCAUGGAGGAUGGAGCAUUGUUUGACAAUGCCAUGAUA
Triplophysa dalaica is the source of this 689-nucleotide long non-coding RNA. RefSeq lists it as uncharacterized. The record is from RefSeq and is a predicted model, not a curated record. The transcript is spliced from 7 exons. NCBI's taxonomy places the organism in Eukaryota, Metazoa, Chordata, Actinopteri, Cypriniformes, Nemacheilidae.